Lagopus leucura (white-tailed ptarmigan) is the source of this 275-nucleotide long non-coding RNA. RefSeq lists it as uncharacterized. NCBI's taxonomy places the organism in Eukaryota, Metazoa, Chordata, Aves, Galliformes, Phasianidae. The record is from RefSeq and is a predicted model, not a curated record. The transcript has 4 exons.
AGUGAUUGCUCCUAGGAGGAACUGGGGGCUGAGCACUGUGGACCCACAGGGAGGAUGAGCAGAGCAGAUUGGUGCCAUGGCCCCUCCUGCCCAGGACAUGGAAGCUUCUGGCUCUGAAUUUAAACCUGAAGACAGUUGAGAUGUCAGCGACAGACAGGUGACUACUAAUUUCCAACACAGUGGGUCUUGCCCACUAAAUACUCCACAACCCCAUGGUGCCUACACCACUACGAGGAGGGAGGAUUUUCCAACACGGCUCUGCUGGCUCAGCUCUU